Opisthocomus hoazin is the source of this 454-nucleotide non-coding RNA. The record is from RefSeq and is a predicted model, not a curated record. NCBI's taxonomy places the organism in Eukaryota, Metazoa, Chordata, Aves, Opisthocomiformes, Opisthocomidae.
CAGACUCCAUGAAAACAAGGCCGGUUGGGAUGGCAGUCAGACUAAGUGGCCUGACCCCGUUGGUGUUUAAAUGGAGCUCUGGUAUUCUAGUGCAUUCUUUUACCUCUGCUUCUGUUGCGUUGCAAGCUGUGCUAGAGAAGACGUAGGAAAUUCAUUUUACCCAAUCAGCAAUUGUAACAAUGGACUACAAACCUGCAGAGCAAGCCGGUUUGCUGGAAAACAGGAAUUCCUGCAGCGCAGCGCUUGUCACAGACUAUCCAAAGAGGGCAAAGAUUCAGGAAGGUGAAUAAAUUGAACAUUGGUUGAAUGAGGUCAGGAACAGUCUCCCGGAGGAGAACCCUGCCCUAAAAUACUACUUUGAAAGUAUAAGCCAAUUUAAUGCGCAGAUUAACCCUUCUCAUUUGAGCAAACCUGUGUGCAAUCCUGGAUCUUUGCAAAUCACAACCGGACACUU